This 253-nucleotide ribosomal RNA is filed under the name uncultured bacterium. RNAcentral describes it as "partial 16S ribosomal RNA". It matches the Rfam family "Bacterial small subunit ribosomal RNA", at positions 524 to 776 of the family's 1533-position model. The record is from RNAcentral.
GACGAACCGUGCGAACGUUGUUCGGAAUCACUGGGCUUAAAGGGAGCGUAGGCGGGCUAUCAAGUCUGGGGUGAAAUCCCACGGCUCAACCGUGGAACUGCCUUAGAUACUGACGGCCUCGAGGGAGAUAGGGGCAUGCGGAACUGUAGGUGGAGCGGUGAAAUGCGUUGAUAUCUACAGGAACUCCGGUGGCGAAAGCGGCGUGCUGGAUCUCUUCUGACGCUGAGGCUCGAAAGCUAGGGGAGCAAACGGG